UACGGAGGGGGCUAGCGUUGUUCGGAAUUACUGGGCGUAAAGCGCACGUAGGCGGACUGGAAAGUUGGGGGUGAAAUCCCGGGGCUCAACCUCGGAACUGCCUUCAAAACUAUCAGUCUGGAGUUCGAGAGAGGUGAGUGGAAUUGCGAGUGUAGAGGUGAAAUUCGUAGAUAUUCGCAGGAACACCAGUGGCGAAGGCGGCUCACUGGCUCGAUACUGACGCUGAGGUGCGAAAGCGUGGGGAGCAAACAGG
RNAcentral lists this ribosomal RNA (253 nucleotides) under uncultured bacterium. Its description in RNAcentral is "partial 16S ribosomal RNA". It matches the Rfam family "Bacterial small subunit ribosomal RNA", at positions 524 to 776 of the family's 1533-position model. The record is from RNAcentral.